UACGGAGGGGGCAAGCGUUGUCCGGAAUCACUGGGCGUAAAGGGCGCGUAGGCGGCUCAUGAAGGCUGUGGUGAAAGUCCGGGGCUCAACCUCGGAUCGGCCGUGGCGACUCGUGGGCUGGAGCACUGUAGAGGCGGGUGGAAUUCCGGGUGUAGCGGUGGAAUGCGUAGAGAUCCGGAAGAACACCAGUGGCGAAGGCGGCCCGCUGGGCAGUGGCUGACGCUGAGGCGCGACAGCGUGGGGAGCAAACAGG
Molecule: ribosomal RNA, 253 nt
Filed under: uncultured bacterium
Lineage: Bacteria
Description: partial 16S ribosomal RNA
Rfam family: Bacterial small subunit ribosomal RNA
Source: RNAcentral